AGUGAACGCUGGCGGUAGGCCUAACACAUGCAAGUCGAACGGCAGCACAGUAAGAGCUUGCUCUUACGGGUGGCGAGUGGCGGACGGGUGAGGAAUACAUCGGAAUCUACUUUUUCGUGGGGGAUAACGUAGGGAAACUUACGCUAAUACCGCAUACGACCUACGGGUGAAAGCAGGGGAUCUUCGGACCUUGCGCGAUUGAAUGAGCCGAUGUCGGAUUAGCUAGUUGGCGGGGUAAAGGCCCACCAAGGCGACGAUCCGUAGCUGGUCUGAGAGGAUGGUCAGCCACACUGGACCUGAGACACGGUCCAGACUCCUACGGGAGGCAGCAGUGGGGAAUAUUGGACAAUGGGCGCAAGCCUGAUCCAGCCAUACCGCGUGGGUGAAGAAGGCCUUCGGGUUGUAAAGCCCUUUUGUUGGGAAAGAAAAGCAGCAGGUUAAUACCCCGCUGUUCUGACGGUACCCAAAGAAUAAGCACCGGCUAACUUCGUG
This 492-nucleotide ribosomal RNA is filed under the name uncultured bacterium. RNAcentral describes it as "partial 16S ribosomal RNA". It matches the Rfam family "Bacterial small subunit ribosomal RNA", at positions 29 to 507 of the family's 1533-position model. The record is from RNAcentral.